GAAAAGUCGAAGUUUUAAGACUAUCAUAUUUUUUAGGCAAUCCUGGCCAUUGUUGACUCUGCGCUUGUCCACCAGAUGACGUCACUGCUGCUGGCCGCCAUACCCAGUGGCCCUUCAUAGGAUCACCUUAUUAAGCACCAUUUAGCACUGGCUAUGGUGAUGACUUCUGACUUCUAACAAGCAACUACUCACUGUCACAGGAACGUAUCGUGGAACUGUCAGCCGUAGUGUUUAGACCCGUAUCGUUCUGGCUGAGGAUUUUUUGCUGUUGUCUGUGUUUGUGUUGUGAGUCUUCUUCGUAGAAAAGCUCGUGGGUACGUAAUUUUCCACAUCAUUAUUCCAGUAGCGUGGCGUGCUUUGCAAUAAAUCGAUUGAUCUGCCAUUUAAACCUGUGAAAAAGGAUCGAUAGACAGGGUAUACCUAAGCCUAAGGUAUACCAGGGUAACAUUUUAAUAAUUGGACAUAAUUCUGCCAAACGGAA
This 481-nucleotide long non-coding RNA is filed under the name Bemisia tabaci. RNAcentral's name for it is "lncRNA ENSSSA1UGG005384". The record is from RNAcentral. Lineage: Eukaryota; Metazoa; Arthropoda; Insecta; Hemiptera; Aleyrodidae.